AUGCUGGCUUCUCAGCUUCUAGAGCUCCUACCCCAACAAUGGCAGCUUCUGCUAGUAAUCCUCCCACUCGUUUCCCUGCUCUUCCUCCUACACAGGAGCCGGAACAGGUCCGGUAGCAUUAGGCUGCCACCAGGGCCCUGGCAGCUGCCCGUCCUGGGCAACCUGCACCAGAUCGGCCCACUGGCCCACCGGAGCCUGUUGGCGCUCUCAAAGCGGCACGGGCCGGUGAUGAUGCUGUGGUUGGGCAUGGUCCAGACGGUGGUGCUGUCCUCGCCGGAGGCCGCACGCGAGGCUCUCAAGACCCACAACGUCGACUGCUCCGGCCGGUCCCCCUCGGCAGGGCCACGGUUGCUGUCAUAUGGCUACAAGGACGUCAUCUUCUCCCCAUAUGGCGAGUACGUCCAGGAGAUGCGCAAGCUUUUCUCCUUGAGCUCACUAGUAGAAAACAGGGUUUUGGUCACAGGGCAAUAUUCACAUUAG
RNAcentral lists this ribosomal RNA (480 nucleotides) under Triticum aestivum (bread wheat). RNAcentral describes it as "partial small subunit ribosomal RNA". Lineage: Eukaryota; Viridiplantae; Streptophyta; Magnoliopsida; Poales; Poaceae. The record is from RNAcentral.